GGAAUUUACCUCAUAUAGUUACUAAAAGAACCAAGAUGAUGGAGACUCUGCCACUUUCUCUGUCUUUCAUCUGGAGCAGGUUUCCACGAAAGCAGAGGAGGAAGUAAUGGACAGGACACGGUGUUCUUAACUGCUUCUCAUUGGUCAGAACUAGUCAUGUGACACCAAUCUACCUGGAAGGGAGGCUGAAAAUAUGAGGUUGCAGAUGGAAUAUUCGGUGAGCACCAUCUUUAUCAAACUAGUGAGUGUUGGGCCAGAGAUAUAAACACAGGUCUGCUUAGGCUCAAAUCCUAUUCCAAAUUCACACCUAACCCUCUGCCACAUGUUUCUCAAAGGGCAGGGUCUCUGGGAUCAAGGUCAGGUGUCAGAGAGAGCCUUGGAUAAUGACUUUCACUCCUCAGGGCUGCUUGUUGGGGUCGACCACCAAGAGAGUCUAACAGGACCAAAUUGAAUAGAUGAAAUCGGAGCAGUCAUGCCUAGAACAAGCCCAGCACCAUGGAAUAGCAGGCAAGCCAGGGGAGCAAAAAAAGUGGGAAGGUUUUGAGGCAGAGAAAAUGUAAUCAAUAGAGAUGUCAAAGUAUAAAGGCCAGAGUAAACAAGGAUUUGAAGACAUCAAGCAGCAAUCAAUAUAGAGUAAGCAAAGAUGGAUAAAGGAGUUGGUAGAUGAAAGGCGAUUUAAGAAGCCACCAGGGACAUAUCCUACUUAUGCUGACAGCAGGCCACAGAAUCCUGUCAGUGUGCCAGUUGUCAAAACCCAUGCUAGGCAGGAAAUGUCGUGAAAGUAUCGAGAUAUUGUUUGAAAAUCCAUCAGUGACUCUAGAUUCUUGCACCAGCUGAAUCAGGCCCAUAUCUUUGCUGCAUGCCAACCUUGCUACUGCCAUAAACUAUUCACAGAUCUUCAAGUAGCUAUGCUUUUUUUUCACACCUCCUUGCCCUUUAUCAGUGGGAUCUCUUAGAAUUCUUUUUUUUGCUCCUCAUCCUUCGGGCUAAAAUCUUCCUACUUUCUUUGAAGCAAUAGGUAGCAGAGAAAGUGGUCCAAACAUACAAAAGAGGCCUUUUGUUCCCAUGGCAACCUGAGCCUAUUCCUAUCACUGUAUUUAUCACAUGAUUUUUUAACCGUUGGUUUUCUUGUAGGUAAGAGCUUUGUCGCAUAGAAGGUGCUCUGUAAAUGUUUGUUGAAUGAACAGAGCUGCAGAUUAAUUUUCUUAGGUGUCAUCACAUGGAGUUUCAGAUCGGAUCUGUGCAUUAAUUUAAGAGUGAAUGUGAAUACUAAAAGCAACCUAUGGAAGAUCAAAAUUUAUUUAUUAUUUAUCUGAUAUUCUUCAUCUGGCACAAAGCAAGACUAUAUAAUUGAUAUAUAUAUAUAUACACACACAUAUAUAUAUAUAUACACACACAUAUAUAUAUGUAUAUAUUUUAAUUGAAAUUGUUGAUCAGAUAUUAGAGAACCAAAAAAGGCAAAGUGAGGACAUGGCGGCAUACCAGUGGCAGUAAUAGCAGGAAACUGUCAAUGCUCUUAGGACUGUGGGAAUGAAGGAAAGAGGUUGGGAUUAUUUCAAUACAGACCUUAAACGAGUCAUCUCAGGAACUCGGUUCAGACCUAUGAAGGUGGAGUGUGGGCCAUCUGUGAGAGGGUACAAUGAGGCUGGUUCUGGAUAUAUGAAAAAAAACUACAGACUGCAUCUAGAAGCUGCUGCUGAGGUUAAGAAUCACUAUUGAGAUGACUCCAAAGAACAAGAAACAGUAAUUUCCUUUUGUCAUCCUUCAGUUUUACCAGCUUCCUCUAGCACUCCUUAGUGGUAGAGCCUAGCAGCCAGCAGUUGGUGAGUAGAACCAGGCUUUGAAGUCUUGGUCCCAACAGCACAGAGCUGUAUACGUGAGCAGGUUUGAAGCUCAGAGAUAAUGUCAAUAACCAGUACAGAAAAUAAAAAGAAAGCCCACCAACCACCAUAAAACAUCUGUUUUAAUUUUUGCAGCUUAACUUUCAUAUGUGAAUUCUUAUUUGCAUAUUUUCAGCAUUAUCCUAAUUUAUUUGAUAUUAAAUCAAUUAUUUUUCAUACUUCUAUAUUAUAUUUAUAGUUGUUAUGUUAAUGGUUGCGUAUUAGUGCAUUGUUUUUCAGUACCAUAAUUUAUUAAAUUGUUCCCUGAAAGUUGCACAUUUAUAUAGUUUCUGAUUUAUGGAUGUUGGAGAGAAAAAUCUUUGUGUACAUACUUGUUGCCUUCAAUUUAAUAUUCCUAGGAGUGGAAUUAUUAUUUUAAAAGAUUUGAGCAUCUUUAUGUGUUGUCUUAUUCCUCAAAAGCUGUUUAUGCUACCAUCAGCAAUAAAUGAGUACACCUGCUUAACCAGUAAAUACUGAUUUUUAAGCAUCCCAUUGAAAUCAAGGAGAAACAAAGGCAUGUAUUUUGGAGGCAAUGGCAAAAUAAGUUGUGGGGCAGGGGAUUUGAAGUUUUGCUUUUUAUUUUUUUUAGGUUUUUAUUUUUUCUAUUAUAGUCAAUUUACAUUGUUCUGUCAAAUUCUACCAUACAGCAAAGUGACCCAGGUAUACAUAUAGAUAUAUUUACACAUUCUUUUUCUCACAUUAUUCUCCAUCAUGUUCCAUCAAAAGUGACUAGAUAUAGUUCCCUGUGCUGUACAGUAGGAUAUAAUCGCUUAUCCACUCCAAAUGCAGUAGUUAGCAUCUGCUAACCCCAAACUCCCAGUCCAUCCCACUCCGUCCUCCUCCCCCUCAGCAACCACAAGUCUGUUCUCCAAGUUCAUGGUUUUUCUUAUUUGUAGAAAGAUUCCUUUGUGCCAUAUAUUAGAUUCCAGAUAUAAGUAAUAUCAUAUGGUAUUUGUCUUUCUCUUUCUGACUUAAUUCACUCAGGAUGAGAGUCUCUAGUUCUAUCCAUGUUGAUGCGAAUGGCAUUAUUUUGUUCUUUUUUAUGGCUGAGUAAUUUUUAUUAUUUCCAUUAUAGUUGGUUUACAGUAUUCUGUCAGUUUUAUACUGUACAGUAAAGUGACGGAAACAAAGCGUGGCAGAAACAAAUCCGACUAGGAACCAUGAGGUUUUGGGUUUGAUCCCUGACUUUGCUUAGUGGGUUAAGGAUCUGGCAUUGCCAUGAGCUGUGCUGCAGCUCACAGACAAGGUUUGUGUCUGGGCUUGCUGUGGCAUAGGCCGGCAGCAACAGCUCUGAUUCUGCUGCUAGCCUGAGAACCUCCAUAUGCCACGGGUGCGACC
This 3218-nucleotide long non-coding RNA is filed under the name Sus scrofa (pig). Its description in RNAcentral is "lncRNA (ENSSSCG00000055153.1, ENSSSCG00105025544.1, ENSSSCG00130028530.1, ENSSSCG00160040374.1)". Lineage: Eukaryota; Metazoa; Chordata; Mammalia; Artiodactyla; Suidae. The record is from RNAcentral.